This 481-nucleotide ribosomal RNA is filed under the name uncultured bacterium. RNAcentral describes it as "partial 16S ribosomal RNA". It matches the Rfam family "Bacterial small subunit ribosomal RNA", at positions 28 to 507 of the family's 1533-position model. The record is from RNAcentral.
GACGAACGUUGGCGGCGUGCUUAAUACAUGCAAGUCCACUGAAGCAGUGGUAGCAAUAUCGCUGUGGAGGUGGCGCACGGGUGGGUAACACGUAGGUAAUCUGCCUUCAGGUCUGGCAUAACUCCGGGAAACCGGGGCUAAUAGCAGAUGAUGCAGCGGCUCGACAUCGAGACAGUUGUUAAAGCUAUGGCGCCUGAAGAUGAGCCUGCGUCUGAUUAGCUAGUUGGCGGGGUAACGGCCCACCAAGGCAACGAUCAGUAGCUGGUCUGAGAGGAUGAUCAGCCACACUGGAACUGAGACACGGUCCAGACUCCUACGGGAGGCAGCAGUAAGGAAUAUUGCUCAAUGGGAGAAAUCCUGAAGCAGCAACGCCGCGUGAGGGACGAAGGGCUUUUGCUUGUAAACCUCUGUAGUGAGAGAAAAAAAUCCCAAUCUUUGGGACAUGAUGGUAUCCCAAAAGUAAGCCCCGGCUAACUACGUG